RNAcentral lists this long non-coding RNA (3733 nucleotides) under Lotus japonicus. Its description in RNAcentral is "long non-coding RNA (LJAP_LNC002254)". The record is from RNAcentral. Lineage: Eukaryota; Viridiplantae; Streptophyta; Magnoliopsida; Fabales; Fabaceae.
AACAAUCAUCUUAAUUAAAUUUUAAUUUCAAUCUUCUUUCUGAUGCUGUGACCUAACUUGAUUUGUGAUGAAUUGAUGAUAACAAGCCUGCAGCAAUCACUUGCUGUUCUUAACUUUUUAACCCAAGCCCAAAUUCUUCCUACACUUUUCCAUCUGGAUACUAAUAUCACUCAAGUUGGUUUGCUAUAUUAGCUAACUUUAUUUUGUUUCUAAACCUUACAAUACCACUUUGUAGUUACUCUUCCUUUCUUAUACCCCUCAUGAAUGACUCAAUACAAGAAUUAUUCUGGUUGCAAACAUUAUUCAGAUAAGCAAUACGGCAAUACCAUAUACAAAAUUUCAGAAAAGGUCCCCAGCCAAAUCAGGCAUCAAAUAAAUACGAAAAAUAUGAGGUUUAGGAGAAUUAGCCAAAUUUAAGCUUCAUCAGCUACAAGUGAGCAACCAUCAAACUUAACUUGAUGAAUCUAAAAAAUUACUUUCUACACUAUUGUACAUCAACAAAUACUAAGAUAAACCGCAUGUAUAAACAUCACACAAAUAAAUAAUGUAGACAAGGUCUAUAUAUUUGGAUUUAAUUUCACCUAUAUUCAGGGAAAAUCAAGAACAAAAAUUCCAUUUUAGUUAUGUUUGAAAAAUCAAAGCAUUCUCAGUUUCCCCUUGGCUAUAGAAUCCUUAACAAGCUCCAUGUGGCAUGAAGCUUUCUGUGCCCCAGUCAACCCAGAACAAGAGCCAUUGGACCCUAUAGUGACAGCAAAAUAGAGAUAAACAAAACAGAGGAUGGUCAGGAGAACAAGAGUGGAUAAGAGGAAGCGAUGCCUCUGGACCAGUGUGGACCAAUUACCCAGUUCAACCUUUGCAAACUGCCUCUUGAAAGAUGGAGACCUCAACCGAGGAGAAGACAGAAUGGUGUCAAGAACCAUGGCUUCUACAACAACUUUCUUCACCCCGCCUGAAGCUGCACAACACAAGCAAAGUUAGUCAUUCUAUGAAAAAUGUUACAUAAGGCAUAAAUUGUGACAUAACAAGCUCGCAAUCCCACCCUUCUCUCCCAUUGUAUAAACAAUCAUGCACACAUAUGGGGGUCAUGUUUGAAAAUGCACUUGGUGGAAUCCAUAAUUAAUAGUAAAGGGUUUUGCAAGUAGGUCCACAAGUGACAUGCCUGCCAUGCUUUUAUGGUGUAAUGUUAUGUUUAGGGUCUACCUCGCAUUCUGUUAGGAGCAAAAAGAACAAGCAUGCCAAUCACCAAUAGUUUCACUCAAGAAAACUAAAUUAACUGAAAAACAAAAAGAGUUACCUUGUUAACCAUGAAGAUUUCGUCCUCAAUAUUCACUUCAAGGACGUUUCAAGCUCUCAUUGUUCCUAAAUUAACUAGUAUAUUAUGUAUAUAUAUCAAAAAAGCAUUUGAAGACUAGGAAGUUUGUGGGGCAUGAAAAAGCUGUGUAAAAUGUAAAUCAUGAAAGACCAAUUAGAAAAGGGAAGUUUAUGAGAACAUGUGUGUAAAGGAUUGUCAGCUACAAGGGAAGAAUAUUGAUGUGAAUAGAAAAGGUGUUGUUUUUGGCUUAGUCAAAAAAGAGCUAAGAGGAUGACACAAUAACUAUUCAUAUAGUAAAACAUCUAAAAUUUUCAAUUGCAUUUUAAAACUUGGCACUUGCCUUUUUCCGUUACUCAUGCCGCCAAUUUUUGAUGUUUGCUUGCUUGCUUUACCAAUUCAGUGGAUCCAUCCCAUUGUAAAGGAAUGGGAAAAUGAACAAAAUUUUGCUUUCCGGGGAAAAUUUAAUCUCAAAUUCCACAGGCCGUUAUCCGUGACCAACUAACAUUGACUUAAUUAGUGAAAGAGAUGAGAUGACAACUCCCUACACAGUGAAAUAGUGAAUGAAAUUUCAUUCAAAUUCCAUAAUAAUAAAAUUAAAUAAUAACUAAACGCGUGCCUUAACUACUUGAUUCCAUUUCCUUAUUCUCAUCACUGCCAUUGCAAUCACACCUACAAGAACUAGCAGCAUCAUUGUCACCGCCAAUAUGGUUUAUUUAGUAUUAUUGAGGCAGCAACUAACAUUACCAUGACGUGAACACAAUGUUCGGGAUGAUCUUGCUAUUAUUAAACUAUGUAUUUAUUUACUUAUUAAUUGGUAAGUCCACAUAGAAGAAGUGUUUAUCUGUUAAUCAUUCUUGAUUCUCCAUCACGAUUUUGUCGUCAUUUCCUUUUUCUUUCAAAAAUCAAAACUAUACCACAUAACUGUACCUGCAUUGAGGACGACCUAAAUUAAGGUGUACGCCUUGGCGCUAUCUAAAAAAUACAGAUUGAUAAAAGAUUAAGGUUAAUGUCAAUUUUCAACCACUUUCGUGAAUCAAUGAAAUCGUGAUUAAAGCAAUGAUUGAGAAUAGUGACAAAGGAAUGAUUUGACAUUAUUUUCUAAUGUCAUUAUUAGGAAAAUCCUAAUUCUUACGGGAAUGAAAUGCAAGAAUGUACUUCAAGUGUUACUCAAGUAAGAAAAGUAGGAAUGCACACUUCUUUUACUUAUUUGUUAUUGUAUGGGAUACAAGUUUUCUUCUCUACAAUUUAGAAAAUUGUAACCAAUCAUGAUAGUUCACAUGGUUUCGAUCAGGAAACAAUGUGAUAUAAGCAUUAGUGUUUCGUCAAACAUCAGUUUAUGUAACUCACACGAACCACUUCGUGGAUUACAUCAUUCUUGUAACAAAUAGCACUCUUUGGUAAUGUUUAGUAUAAUAGUCACUUUGUUCCCUAUUUAUAACGCUUUUUUUUUAUACAUUGGAAAAUAUUUAUAAGGCUCUCUUAAAACAACUUAUAAGAAUUAAAAUAGGGUGGAAUGAAAAGACAGGUACUCUAAGACGUAGUGGAGAAGUAUUUUGACCUAACAUGAUCCUUAGGUUUAUUAAGCGAACAAUAACCUAAUAGAAUACAAGAACGGAACCUAUGUCAGUAUGAGCAUCAUUUUUCAUUUUCUUUUGUCUCCUCAUAUAUCUUUACAGGCAUUACAAAGACUAACUCAUUUCCAUUCUAAGACCUUGUUAACAAUCAUCUUAAUUAAAUUUUAAUUUCAAUCUUCUUUCUGAUGCUGUGACCUAACUUGAUUUGUGAUGAAUUGAUGAUAACAAGCCUGCAGCAAUCACUUGCUGUUCUUAACUUUUUAACCCAAGCCCAAAUUCUUCCUACACUUUUCCAUCUGGAUACUAAUAUCACUCAAGUUGGUUUGCUAUAUUAGCUAACUUUAUUUUGUUUCUAAACCUUACAAUACCACUUUGUAGUUACUCUUCCUUUCUUAUACCCCUCAUGAAUGACUCAAUACAAGAAUUAUUCUGGUUGCAAACAUUAUUCAGAUAAGCAAUACGGCAAUACCAUAUACAAAAUUUCAGAAAAGGUCCCCAGCCAAAUCAGGCAUCAAAUAAAUACGAAAAAUAUGAGGUUUAGGAGAAUUAGCCAAAUUUAAGCUUCAUCAGCUACAAGUGAGCAACCAUCAAACUUAACUUGAUGAAUCUAAAAAAUUACUUUCUACACUAUUGUACAUCAACAAAUACUAAGAUAAACCGCAUGUAUAAACAUCACACAAAUAAAUAAUGUAGACAAGGUCUAUAUAUUUGGAUUUAAUUUCACCUAUAUUCAGGGAAAAUCAAGAACAAAAAUUCCAUUUUAGUUAUGUUUGAAAAAUCAAAGCAUUCUCAGUUUCCCCUUGGCUAUAGAAUCCUUAACAAGCUCCAUGUGGCAUGAAGCUUUCUG